RNAcentral lists this unclassified non-coding RNA (80 nucleotides) under Flavobacterium omnivorum. Lineage: Bacteria; Pseudomonadati; Bacteroidota; Flavobacteriia; Flavobacteriales; Flavobacteriaceae. The record is from RNAcentral.
AACCGCCGUAUACGAGACCCGCACGUACGGUCGUGUGAGAGGCGCACUCUGUCAGUUUCUGGCGGAGCCGUCUACUCGAU